This 292-nucleotide ribosomal RNA is filed under the name uncultured bacterium. RNAcentral's name for it is "partial 16S ribosomal RNA". It matches the Rfam family "Bacterial small subunit ribosomal RNA", at positions 505 to 796 of the family's 1533-position model. The record is from RNAcentral.
GUGCCAGCCGCCGCGGUAAUACGUAGGGUGCGAGCGUUAAUCGGAAUUACUGGGCGUAAAGCGUGCGUAGGCGGUUCUGGAAGUCAGCUGUGAAAGCCCCGGGCUUAACCUGGGAAUGGCGGUUGAAACUCCAGGACUAGAAUCUGGCAGAGGGGGGUGGAAUUCCACGUGUAGCAGUGAAAUGCGUAGAGAUGUGGAGGAACACCGAUGGCGAAGGCAGCCCCCUGGGCUGAGAUUGACGCUCAGGCACGAAAGCGUGGGGAGCAAACAGGAUUAGAUACCCGCGUAGUCC